UCGAGAGGCUUCGGCAAUGGGGGAAACCCUGACCGAGCGACGCCGCGUGGGGGAUGAAGGCCCUUGGGUUGUAAACCCCUUUUAUUCGGGAAGAAAUGUGAUCAGGUGAAUAAUCUGGUCACUUGACGGUACCGGAUGAAUAAGCUCCGGCUAACUCCGUGCCAGCAGCCGCGGUAACACGGGGGGAGCAAGCGUUGUUCGGAAUCACUGGGCGUAAAGGGCGUCUAGGCGGUCAGGUAAGUGGGAUGUGAAAUCCCUCGGCUCACCCGAGGACCGGCAUCUCAUACUGCUUGGCUUGAGUACGGGAGAGGAUGUGGGAAUUCCUGGUGUAGCGGUGAAAUGCGUAGAUAUCAGGAGGAACACCGGUGGCGAAGGCGCACAUCUGGCCCGAUACUGACGCUGAAGCGCGAAAGCUAGGGGAGCAAACG
This 428-nucleotide ribosomal RNA is filed under the name uncultured Latescibacterota bacterium. Its description in RNAcentral is "bacterial SSU rRNA". It matches the Rfam family "Bacterial small subunit ribosomal RNA", at positions 355 to 774 of the family's 1533-position model. The record is from RNAcentral. Lineage: Bacteria; Pseudomonadati; Candidatus Latescibacterota.